UCAGAUUGACAAAUGUAAAACAAAAUGUGCAGUAUUUUGAGAUAGUGGGGAAAAUUCAUUUUUUACAUAGAAAUGCUGAGAACUCAAAUUGUUACAGUGCUAAUGGAGGGUAAUUUGGCAAAAUCUUUCAAAAUGCAAAAUGUACCAACUUGCAAGUAUUUUAGCAAACCACAACAACAAAAUAAGUUAAAAAUGCCAUCUGUCUGAGAGAAAUUAGAAUGGAAGUUCCAAAACACCUUUCUGUAAAAUGCAGCCAAAUUAAAAUGGAGAGGGAAAUUCAGAGCCUCCGUGCUUAUAUUAGAAAAGGAGAAAGACGUAUCAAAAUUUAAGAAGUUUUGGAAAAGAACAGCAGAAGAAACCUAGGCGCUCUCCCUCUCCCUCUCCCUGUCCCUGUCCCUCUCCCUCUCCCCAUGGUUUCCCUCUCCCUCUCUUUCCACGGUCUCCCUCUCAUGCCGAGCCGAAGCUGGACUAUACUGCUGCCAUCUCGGCUCACUGCAACCUCCCUGCCUGAUUCUCCUGCCUCAGCCUGCGGAGUGCCUGCAAUUGCAGGUGCGCGCCGCCACGCCUGACUGGUUUUCGUAUUUUUUUGGUGGAGACGGGGUUUCGCUGUGAUGGCCAGGCUGGUCUCCAGCUCCUAACCGCGAGUGGUCCGCCAGCCUCGGACUCCCGAGGUGCCGGGAUUGCAGACGGAGUCUGGUUCUCUCAGUGCUCAAUGGCGCCCAGGCUGGAGCGCAGUGGCGUGAUCUCGGCUCGCUACAACCUCCACCUCCCAGCCGCCUGCCUUGGCCUCCCAAAGUGCCGAGAUUGCAGCCUCUGCCAGGCCGCCACCCCGUCUGGGAAGUGAGGAGCGUCUCUGCCUGGCCGCCCAUCGUCUGGGACGUGAGGAGUCCCUCUGCCUGGCUGCCCAGUCUGGAAAGUGAGGAGCGUCUCUGCCCAGCCGCCAUCCCAUCUCGGAAGUGAGGAGCGCCUCUUCCCGGCCGCCAUCACAUCUAGGAAGUGAGGAGCGUCUCUGCCCGGCCGCCCAUCGUCUGGGAUGUGGGGAGUGCCUCUGCCCCGCCGCCCCGUCUGGGAUGUGAGGAGCGCCUCUGCCCGGCCGCCACCCCGUCUGGGAGGUGAGGAGCGUCUCUGCCCGGCCGCCCCGUCUCAGAAGUGAGGAGACCCUCCGCCCGGCAGCCGCCCCGUAUGAGAAGUGAGGAGCCUCUCCACCCGGCAGCCGCCCCGUCUGGGAAGUGAGGAGCAUCUCCGCCCGGCAGCCACCCCGUCCGGGAGGGAGGUGGGGGGUCAGCCCCCCGCCCGGCCAGCCGCCCCGUCCGGGAGGUGAGGGGCGCCUCUGCCCGGCCGCCCCUACUGGGAAGUGAGGAGCCCCUCUGCCCGGCCAGCCGCCCCGUCCGGGAGGGAGGUGGGGGGGUCAGGCCCCGCCCGGCCAGCCGCCCCGUCCGGGAGGGAGGUGGGGGGGUCAGCCCCCCGCCCGGCCAGCCGCCCCGUCCGGGAGGUGAGGGGCGCCUCUGCCCGGCCGCCCCAUCUGGGAGGUGAGGAGCCCCUCUGCCCGGCCACCACCCCGUCUGGGAGGUGUACCCAACAGCUCAUUGAGAGCGGGCCAGGAUGACAAUGGCGGCUUUGUGGAAUGGAGGGGGGGGAAAGGUGGGGAAAAGAUUGAGGAAUGGGAUGGUUGCCGUGUCUGUGUAGAGGGAGGUAGACAUGGGAGACUUUUCAUUUUGUUCUGUACUAAGAAAAAUUCUUCUGCCUUGGGAUCCUGUUGAUCUGUGACCUUACCCCCAACCCUGUGCUCUGAAACAUGUGCUGUGUCCACUCAGAGUUAAAUGGAUUAAGGGCGGUGCAAGAUGUGCUUUGUUAAACAGAUGCUUGAAGGCAGCAUGCUCCUUAAGAGUCAUCACCACUCCCUAAUCUCAAGUACCCAGGGACACAAACGGUGCAGAAGGCCGCAGGGUCCUCUGCCUAGGAAAACCAGAGACCUUUGUUCACUUGUUUAUCUGCUGACCUUCCCUCCACUAUUGUCCUAUGACCCUGCCAAAAGCCCCUCUGUGAGAAACACCCAAGAAUGAUCAAUAAAAAAAAAAUAAAUAAAAUAAAAUAAAAUUAAAUUAAAUUAAAAAAAAAAAAAAAGAAACCUAGGCUUGGUGCCAUGGCUCACACCUACAAUCCUAACACUUUGGGAGGCUGAGGUGGGAGGAUUGCUUGAGCCCAGGAGUUCAAGAUCACCCUGGGCAACAUAGUGAGACCCCUGCCUCUACAAAAAAAAAAAUAAAUAAAAAUAAAAAAAUUAAAAAAAUUUAAAAAAAUUAGGGUGGCUGGGCGCUGUGGCUCAUGCCUGUAAUGC
RNAcentral lists this long non-coding RNA (2338 nucleotides) under Homo sapiens (human). RNAcentral's name for it is "HSALNT0397899". Lineage: Eukaryota; Metazoa; Chordata; Mammalia; Primates; Hominidae. The record is from RNAcentral.